CUUGACUGUAUCCUGGAAUUGGGUUCGGGCUUUUCUUGCGCAGCCUAGGUGGGAGGCUAUGAAGAUUUCCUUCCGGGGAAGUUGGAGCCAUCAGUGAGAGACCACUCUGGAGAGGCUAGAAUCCUAAUGGUGAUCCUUGAAUCAGGACACUUGACAGUUUCAGGUGGGCAGUUUGUUUGGGGCGAACGCCUCAUAAAAGGUAACUGAGGCGCGCAAAGGUCCCCUCAGUCUGGACGGAAAUCAGACAUUGAGUGUAAAGGCAAAAGGGGGCUUGACUGCAAGACCUACAAGUCGAGCAGGAGCGAAAGCUGGCCUUAGUGAUCCGACGGUGCCGUGUGGAAGGGCCGUCGCUCAACGAAUAAAAGUUA
Molecule: ribosomal RNA, 368 nt
Filed under: uncultured organism
Description: bacterial LSU rRNA
Rfam family: Bacterial large subunit ribosomal RNA
Source: RNAcentral